GCAAGUCGAACGCGAACGUCUCUUCGGAGGCUAGUAGAGUGGCGAACGGGUGCGUAACACGUGAGAACCUACCUCUUUGUGGAGGAUAUCUCGGAGAAAUCCGAAUUAAUCCUGCAUAAGUUCGAGAGAAGAAAGACGGCCUCUUGCUGUCGCAAAGAGAUGGGCUCGCGGCCUAUUAGUUAGUUGGUGGGGUAAUGGCCUACCAAGGCAAUGAUGGGUAUCUGAUCUGAGAGGAUGGUC
RNAcentral lists this ribosomal RNA (240 nucleotides) under uncultured bacterium. Its description in RNAcentral is "partial 16S ribosomal RNA". It matches the Rfam family "Bacterial small subunit ribosomal RNA", at positions 57 to 305 of the family's 1533-position model. The record is from RNAcentral.